This 2587-nucleotide long non-coding RNA is filed under the name Olea europaea subsp. europaea. Lineage: Eukaryota; Viridiplantae; Streptophyta; Magnoliopsida; Lamiales; Oleaceae. The record is from RNAcentral.
UGAAAACCCACCAGCCACCAUACCCACUUUAUUAAAAACCCACGACCCACUCUGUUUUGCCCACAGAAAUUUUCACCAAAAAAAUUCCCGCUUUUUGGCUUAAUCUAUUGCUACCAAAACCUAAUUAAUUCAAUUUGCCUACCCUCAAAAUUUCUUGUGGAUCCCAUGGUUGCAAUCCCAAUCUCUUCAUUUGCCACGGUAUUGAUUUUUGGUCAAUAAAUUCCUGCCUAAUUUACUACGUGGAGAUUGUGUUCUUCAAACAGUCUUAAAGGUAUGCCUAUAAGCUUUGCUUUAAUCUUUGAUUAAUUUUCCAGCUUUUUUUAAUUAGAUCUGGUGUUUCUAUUGAUUUUUCUGAAAUUCGAAGAAUUUGUUAAAUAUGAACCAUUGGAUUUAUAUGACAGUUUUAAUUUGUAAUUAAUUACUCAAAUAUAUCUUUUCUUAGACAGAAUUUUUUUGUUCUUAAUGAUGCUUGAUUAAUAUAGUUUUAAUCAUUUUCUUUUGUUUCCCCAUUUUGAACCGAAUGUAGUAGCUAGGAUUGUGAAGUUUUCAUGUAAUUUUAGUCUACUUCUUUGAAGGAAAAAAAAAAUGUAGAAUUAACUGUAAAGAAAUUCUGUUUUAUUGAAAUGGGCUUGAUCAAUUGUGACAUUAUGUUUAGGGAAGUGAAAUUGGAAUUGGGAUUGUGAAAGAUUUAUUUUAAUAUUUGUUCUAAUUUUAAUUUCAAGGUGAUGAAUUCCAUUCCAUGUUCUGCUUGUAAUUCAUUUCUAUGUAAUUUACAAGUAGUAUGCUAUCAGAUUGUCUUUUUGGCUUCUGCGAAGGAUAAGCACCCUUGAUACUUUUCGUGUAUCAUGUCAAGAGGACGAGGCUCCUAACGGGGGGAGGAAAGGAGGGUGUGAGCAGGCUCUUUUCACUGUGGAAGUUGUGGGUCUCUUUGCCCUUUCCAUAUUAGUAGCAAAAAUUUCUCCUACCUUUUAGUAGCUUGCGUUGUCUUCCACACUGCUUUCUUAAGUUAGUUGUUAGACUAAGUUCACCGGCCAAGUCAUAAUUUUAGAUUCAUUUGUAGCUGACUUUAUUUCUAUCACCUUAAAUCAUCAACUCGUCCUAUGAACAAAAACUGUAAUCAUACUGGUAGGUAUGAAUCGAAGAAAAUAUUAAUUAGUAUUUUCAGGUCAAUAUAUACAUGCUAUGUAUAAUUAUAAUCUUGCUGAUUUCUGAUAACUGCGCGUGCACAUAGAGCAAUCAUAUUGGAACUGCUAUAAAUCUUCUUUGGUAUUCAAAGGCAUACGUAUGAAUGCAGUUUUCUUUUUUGAUUAUCAGAAAUCUCUUCAAUGAAAUGUUUUGGAAAGUUCAAAAGGAGAACCUUUAGGCAACCACAGCUACAAAAAAUGGGGAUCAAAGUUUCAUUGCUCAGUUGGAACUUUCGUGUGCUUCUUAAUUAUAUAUGAGAAGUGAAAUUUGAGGAACGGUUUCAGUUUUCAGCUAAAUGGUUUUUGUGAGUUGAAAAUAUAUUUUAUGAACAAGAUCCUGGUAAUAAGCUAAUUUGGUUCAUCAAGGGAAAUUAGCUAAGAAAAUGUAAAUUAAAUGUCCACUAGCACAAUACUCAUUCUGAGGAUUUCAGGAAAAUAUCUAAUGUAACUCCGUUCUAAUAUAAAUCAAAUUAGAUAAUUUCAAGUAGAAUUUUCAAUAGAUGGAUAACUCCGUUCUAAUGUAAAUCAUUCCUUAUCUUAUUUCCAAGAAUGUUUAGACAUGUUUUAAAGAGUAUGAGCUACACAUCUGAUGAGAGCAUUGUUGUGGUAACAUAACUGAAGGCAUAGCUAAUGGUGAUGGUGUUCAGUAUAGAUAAUGCAUUGUAACAGGCCCAUAUAUUUUUUUACCUAGUGUACCUCAAUAUGAAUAAUACUAAUUUGAUAUCGUUUGUGGUCUUCCCUGCUUUUUGCUGCUGCCUUCUGAGUCUUGAGCAUUUAUUUGUUACAAGCCCUGCUUUACUGGUGUAAUUUACUGGUAUUUGAAUGAUUAUUUUGGUUAGGUUCUUGAGAUAUUGAAGAAAAUGUUUGGUAUACAUUCCAAAUAGAUAACUACUUCAAGUGAGAAAAUCUAUCCAAAAGGUCAUCAAAUUCUUGGGUUACGAGAAAUGGGAUAUCUUCUUCCAAUGUACACGAUUUGGAGAAGGAGUUGGAAACAGAACGUUCUGCUCGUAAGAUAGCAAAUGCAGCUCGAGUAAACAUGGAGCAAAAUAUGUAAAACAAGCUAAAGGUUGUUGAGCAACAAUUCAAUCCUACAUUACAAUCUUGGCAUCAUUCUAUACAACAAUUAUGUGGUAAAGUUCUGGGUUUCAUUGUACCACCAUUUAUACCAUUGUCAAUAGAGAAUAAUGGAAAUGGGAAAAAUGAUGCUAUUGAGGAUGAAGAGAAUAACUUUGGUGAGAAUCAGCACGUAUCUAAUUCACGGGAAUAAAGAGUCAUGUUUUUUAACUUUAGAUAUAAUCAUACUUGGUGAAUGUCAUUUAUUUGUGUGUUGAUGAAAUAUUUUGGAUUCAAUGUUGGUUGACAUUACAUUUUAAUUGAUUUAUUAUGAUUUUUGUGUCUUUAUA